This is a long non-coding RNA of Vigna radiata var. radiata (mung bean), 598 nucleotides long. RefSeq lists it as uncharacterized. The transcript has 3 exons. The record is from RefSeq and is a predicted model, not a curated record. NCBI's taxonomy places the organism in Eukaryota, Viridiplantae, Streptophyta, Magnoliopsida, Fabales, Fabaceae.
UUUAGGGUUCCUCAACGCGAUUGAAAUUGGGGUCAGAAGAUUGAAAUUGUGUGCGUGGUUCGUCAAGGGAGGUUGUUUCAUUCCUUCGUCGUCAGAUGGUGGAGGUUGCGCCUCUACCGAUAGCACCACCGGUGCUGGAGCAGCGAAGGUCUCGACUGAGAAGGAGAACAACCCACCUCAAGCAGGGUUAGAGGUUGGACAGGGAAGAUGUGGGCUGGGAAUGGAGGAUUGGGAGAGUGUGUUGUCUGAGUCAUCUGGUCAAGAUAAUUCUAUUUUGAAAUUAAUUAUGGGGACAUUAGGACUCCGCUUAUGGGGGACAUUCAGCGAGCAGUGGAGACGAGAUCUGUUGGCUUGGCUGGCAUUGGGUUGCAUCCUGGAUUCGGAAAGUAAGAGUUUAGAAUUUGAACUCUAUUUGUCCAAUGCACAUAAGAGUGAAGCGCAGAUCUCUGUGAUAUAGGCAAAAAAAUGGAGUACAGGAAAAUCAAAGACGAGGAUGAAGUUAGGGACGGGGCCCUUGAAGACGUUGAAAAAUCAUUUUUGCUUUCAGUGCCAGAUAGUAGUUUGAGUUCCGGGGGAGAAACCAGGAUUGACAUCCACA